RNAcentral lists this ribosomal RNA (460 nucleotides) under uncultured bacterium. RNAcentral describes it as "partial 16S ribosomal RNA". It matches the Rfam family "Bacterial small subunit ribosomal RNA", at positions 338 to 795 of the family's 1533-position model. The record is from RNAcentral.
CCUACGGGUGGCAGCAGUGAGGAAUCUUGGUCAAUGGGCGCGAGCCUGAACCAGCAACGUAGCGUGAAGGAUGACUGCCUUACGGGUUGUAAACUUCUUUUAUACCGGGGUAAAAUGCUCUACGAGUCGGGUUUUGAAAGUACGGUACGAAUAAGGAUCGGCUAACUCAGUGCCAGCAGCCGCGGCAAUACGGAGGAUCCGAGCGUUAUCCGGAUUCAUUGGGUUUAACGGGUGCGUAGGUGGUUUUAUAAGUUAGCGGUGAAAUACCGAUGCUCAACAUCGGGGCUGCCGCUGAUACUGUAGGACUAGAGAUCGGAUGCAGAAAGCGGAAUGUGUAGUGUAGCGGUGAAAUGCAUAGAUAUUACACAGAACACCGAUUGCGAAGGCAGCUUGCUAGGCCGGAUCUGACACUGAGGCACGAAAGCGUGGGGAUCGAACAGGAUUAGAUACCCCUGUAGUC